Molecule: ribosomal RNA, 253 nt
Filed under: uncultured prokaryote
Description: partial 16S ribosomal RNA
Rfam family: Bacterial small subunit ribosomal RNA
Source: RNAcentral
ACGUAGGGCGCAAGCGUUAUCCGGAAUUAUUGGGCGUAAAGAGCUCGUAGGCGGUUUGUCGCGUCUGCCGUGAAAGUCCGGGGCUCAACUCCGGAUCUGCGGUGGGUACGGGCAGACUAGAGUGAUGUAGGGGAGACUGGAAUUCCCAGUGUAGCGGUGAAAUGCGUAGAUAUUGGGAGGAACACCGGUGGCGAAGGCGGCUACCUGGACCGGUUCUGACGCUGAUGCGCGAAAGCGUGGGUAGCAAACAGGA